RNAcentral lists this ribosomal RNA (209 nucleotides) under uncultured bacterium. Its description in RNAcentral is "partial 16S ribosomal RNA". It matches the Rfam family "Bacterial small subunit ribosomal RNA", at positions 1292 to 1500 of the family's 1533-position model. The record is from RNAcentral.
UUCGGAUUGUAGUCUGCAACCCGACUACAUGAAGUUGGAAUCGCUAGUAAUCGCGGAUCAGAAUGCCGCGGUGAAUACGUUCCCGGGUCUUGUACACACCGCCCGUCACACCAUGGGAGUCGGAAAUGCCCGAAGUCUGUGACCCAACCUUAGGGAGGGAGCAGCCGAAGGCAGGUCGGAUGACUGGGGUGAAGUCGUAACAAGGUAAC